This 554-nucleotide ribosomal RNA is filed under the name uncultured bacterium. RNAcentral's name for it is "partial 16S ribosomal RNA". It matches the Rfam family "Bacterial small subunit ribosomal RNA", at positions 355 to 900 of the family's 1533-position model. The record is from RNAcentral.
UGGGGAAUAUUGGACAAUGGGCGAAAGCCUGAUCCAGCCAUGCCGCGUGUGUGAAGAAGGUCUUCGGAUUGUAAAGCACUUUAAGUUGGGAGGAAGGGCAGUAAAUUAAUACUUUGCUGUUUUGACGUUACCGGCAGAAUAAGCACCGGCUAACUCUGUGCCAGCAGCCGCGGUAAUACAGAGGGUGCAAGCGUUAAUCGGAAUUACUGGGCGUAAAGCGCGCGUAGGUGGUUCGUUAAGUUGGAUGUGAAAUCCCCGGGCUCAACCUGGGAACUGCAUUCAAAACUGACGAGCUAGAGUAUGGUAGAGGGUGGUGGAAUUUCCUGUGUAGCGGUGAAAUGCGUAGAUAUAGGAAGGAACACCAGUGGCGAAGGCGACCACCUGGACUGAUACUGACACUGAGGUGCGAAAGCGUGGGGAGCAAAACAGGAUUAGAUACCCUGGUAGUCCACGCCGUAAACGAUGUCAACUAGCCGUUGGGAGCCUUGAGCUCUUAGUGGCGCAGCUAACGCAUUAAGUUGACCGCCUGGGGAGUACGGCCGCAAGGUUAAAAC